AAGCAUGAGCUGUGAUGGGGAAGGAAAUUAAGUACGGAAGUUCCUGAUUUCACGCUGUCAAGAAAAGCCUCUAGGAAGAGUAGUACUGCCCGUACCGCAAACCGACACAGGUAGAUGAGGAGAGAAUCCUAAGGUGAGCGAGAGAACUCUCGUUAAGGAACUCGGCAAAAUGACCCCGUAACUUCGGGAGAAGGGGUGCUCUAUUAGGGUGCAAGCCCGAGAGAGCCGCAGUGAAUAGGCCCAGGCGACUGUUUAGCAAAAACACAGGUCUCUGCAAAACCGUAAGGUGACGUAUAGGGGCUGACGCCUGCCCGGUGCUGGAAGGUUAAGAGGAGUGCUUAGCUUCGGCGAAGGUACGAAUUGAAGCCCCAGUAAACGGCGGCCGUAACUAUAACGGUCCUAAGGUAGCGAAAUUCCUUGUCGGGUAAGUUCCGACCCGCACGAAAGGCGCAACGAUCUGGGCACUGUCUCAACGAGAGACUCGGUGAAAUUAUAGUACCUGUGAAGAUGCAGGUUACCCGCGACAGGACGGAAAGACCCCGUGGAGCUUUACUGCAACCUGAUAUGGAAUGUUUGUACCGCUUGUACAGGAUAGGUAGGAGCCGAAGAGACGUGUGCGCUAGCAUACGAGGAGGCAAUGGUGGGAUACUACCCUGGCUGUAUGACCAUUCUAACCCGCCACGCUUAGCGCGUGGGGAGACAGUGUCAGGUGGGCAGUUUGACUGGGGCGGUCGCCUCCUAAAGAGUAACGGAGGCGCCCAAAGGUUCCCUCAGAAUGGAUGGAAAUCAUUCGCAGAGUGUAAAGGCACAAGGGAGCUUGACUGCGA
RNAcentral lists this ribosomal RNA (827 nucleotides) under Listeria monocytogenes. Its description in RNAcentral is "partial 23S ribosomal RNA". It matches the Rfam family "Bacterial large subunit ribosomal RNA", at positions 1552 to 2378 of the family's 2925-position model. Lineage: Bacteria; Bacillati; Bacillota; Bacilli; Caryophanales; Listeriaceae. The record is from RNAcentral.